UCUUUUUACAUGGAAACUUUUAUUCUCAGUGAGAUCUGUACAUUCAAGUCGCACAUACUUUUAAGUCUUUGAUGGAGCUGGAGCACGUGACCACAAAAAACACCUCAUCUGCUUGAAUGGUUAAGAGUUUAUGCCUCGAAAGUAGCCAGGAAAUUUGUGACUAUUUCCUUCAACUUUGCUUCUGUCUGGUCAGAGAUCUUCCCUUCGGUCCUGAUUGUAGCGAGGAGGG
Molecule: long non-coding RNA, 229 nt
Organism: Cygnus olor (mute swan)
Lineage: Eukaryota; Metazoa; Chordata; Aves; Anseriformes; Anatidae
Exons: 3
Source: RefSeq, a predicted model, not a curated record